This 1580-nucleotide long non-coding RNA is filed under the name Homo sapiens (human). Its description in RNAcentral is "HSALNT0099468". Lineage: Eukaryota; Metazoa; Chordata; Mammalia; Primates; Hominidae. The record is from RNAcentral.
CUCAGGUAAGGAGAACUGGCUGGGGCAGAGGGGGUACGCCGUCCUGCCCUGAGAGCCCUGUGAGAGAGUGAGGAGUUUGGAUAGGCGUCGGCGUUGAGUGCACUUGGGAAAAACAUGUCUCUUGAAACUUCACUGAGAGGUGAUGCAAAAAAUUCUGCUCCGUGCCCUGCAAUUGUUGCCUCUGGGGCUCUACUAUCCUCAAGAAAGUUGGGGAAUUCCAGGCUGGAAAUAUUCAGAAAACCAUUAGCUAGCUGUCAUAAUGGGGAGGUGGAGGGCAAGCUACGCAGAGGUCACAGAUCAUCUGAGGCAUUGCUUCAGCGUAUAAGCUUGCUUCCCACACAGCUCUUUGAAGAGUGGUUCAUUAACCGGGCAGGAGACCACUGGUUUUGAAGCCUCUUUUUCUCUUGCUCAACCUUGGAAAGAGCUGGGUUCCAAUGGGACCAUCCAACUCACCAGCAGGAUUGUGGUAAGCACUAAAUGAAUACUUCUAAAGCCCUAAAGCCCUGGACAGAGGCCUGGCAUAUUGUGACGACAUGAUGAUGUCCACUCUCAGCUGGAAAUAGAAAUGGCAGGCUUGCUGUGGUUGAAGUGGGGUGGGGGGUCUGGACCCACCCACGAAGACCUCCCCUUCACAUGAGGCCCAGCUGCACUUUGGCAUGGACCCAGCUACCAGCUAUGCUUGUCAUCCUGUGGCUGCCCUCAGCUACUCCUGUGCAGAAGUCAGUGAGUGUGCACCUAUAUCAUGGCUACGAGACACUCAGUGUGAAACUGCACAUGCUCACGGCAUCUGAAGCAGUGGAUUUGCUUGGGUGGCAGCACCCAUGUUUGUACAACCCCGUGUUUCUUAGAUGAAAAUGGAGCAAUCCUCCUGCACGUGUGUGCUCCCGUCUAAGGGUAUAGGAUUCAGCACUGAGAGUCAUACUUUCCACUGGAAUUGCUUUGCUGGACUCUGGUGACCUUUGAUUAAUGUCCACUUGACCCUUGAAGGACACAAGUUUGAGCCGCACCACUCACUUACAUGUGGGUUUUCUUCCACCUCUGCCACCCCUCCUCCUCCUCCUCUUAUGAUUUUCUAAAUGACAUUGUCUUAGUAUACAACACAUGUAACAUACAAAAUACAUAUUAGUCAACUGUUUAUGUUAUCAGUAAGGCUUCUGGUCAACAGUGGGCUAUGAAUAGUUGUGUUUUUGGGGAAUCAAAAGUUAUACGUGGAUUUUCAACAGCCCGGGGGGUGGAGUUGGUACCCUUAAGGUCAAAUAUAUUAGUCAAUUAACAUGCAUUGAUUAGGCCUACUUUACAGUCAAAACUAGACUGGCCAUUACCAGGACUGCUCUUCUGUUUUAGACACAAUCCCGCCCUCUGGGAGAUUAAAAUGUAAGUGGAAAGAGACAUGUGUCAUGUUCAGAAAUGGUUGAAUUCAGAGUGUGUCUGUCACAAAAAAACAUGCAUGUUGGAGUCAUUGACGAGCUGAGUUUGAGUUUCCAGUUCUUUAUUUGUACACUCUUGUGUCUCUGAGUGUUUGCAGGGAUUGAAUAAAGCUGUGCUACAAACUGUACAGCACAAGGGAUACUCGAAUGUCG